AACGAACGCUGGCGGCAGGCCUAAUACAUGCAAGUCGAGCGCGCCCUUGUGGUGAGCGGCGGACGGGUUAGUAACGCGUGGGAACGUGCCCUUCUCUAAGGAAUAGCCUCUGGAAACGGAGAGUAAUACCUUAUACGCCCUUCGGGGAAGGAUUAUCGGAGAAGGAUCGGCCCGCGUUAGAUUAGAUAGUUGGUGGGGUAACGGCCUACCAAGUCUACGAUCUAUAGCUGGUUUUAGUAGGAUGAUCAGCAACACUGGGACUGAGACACGGCCCAGACUCCUACGGGAGGCAGCAGUAGGGAAUCUUGGACAAUGGGGGGCAACCCUGAUCCAGCCAUGCCGCGUGAGUGAAGAAGGCCUUAGGGUCGUAAAGCUCUUUCGCCUGUGAUGAUAAUGACAGUAGCAGGUAAAGAAACCCCGGCUAACUCCGUGCCAG
RNAcentral lists this ribosomal RNA (436 nucleotides) under uncultured Phaeobacter sp. RNAcentral's name for it is "bacterial SSU rRNA". It matches the Rfam family "Bacterial small subunit ribosomal RNA", at positions 29 to 511 of the family's 1533-position model. The record is from RNAcentral. Lineage: Bacteria; Pseudomonadati; Pseudomonadota; Alphaproteobacteria; Rhodobacterales; Roseobacteraceae.